This is a long non-coding RNA of Rhinopithecus roxellana (golden snub-nosed monkey), 3639 nucleotides long. RefSeq lists it as uncharacterized. The record is from RefSeq and is a predicted model, not a curated record. Lineage: Eukaryota; Metazoa; Chordata; Mammalia; Primates; Cercopithecidae. The transcript is spliced from 2 exons.
GCCUGGCCGACCCUUCUCUUCUUGGUGCAGGAGAUGGGAGCUUCUCACAAAAGGAUAUUUAUGACCUACUUUUAGGUAGAUCAGAAGAGAGCAGAGAACUCUUCCUUCAUCUGUUGAUUCUCAAUUGCCUUCAGCUCAAAUUCUUUUGGUAAAGUAGUAAGUUUUCAGGUCUUAUCACCUUCAUUUGGAAAUGAAGGGCAACAUGAUACUUAACGCCAAAUUGUUCUCCAGAAAAAUGGUACCAGUUUCUAUCUUUGUGAGUGCAUGAAUCUUUGGGAAAUUUUAGCCUUGCAUAAAUUGACAGUAAAUAGUUGAAAAAGAUAAGAUUACAAAGAUAAAAGGAAAACCAAAAUCUUAAAUGUUACCAAAACUUUACUGGUAUGAUGUUCUUAACUCCAAACCUCCAAUAAUUCAGACAGACACCUUGGGAAAGCAGUUUAGAUUGACUUGUAGGGAAAUGUGAUCCGGUUUUCAUUUGUGGCCAUAAUUAGGGCCUCCACUGGGGCAUAGUUUUCACUUUUCAUUGUAAGAGGAUCCAGCACCUGCCUCUCACACUCAUGAGGUAGGCACCCUUCGAAUUUCCUUCUGAGCAAGGGAUUCACUGCUUUCAGUGUUUAGGGUGGGAAGACAGAAUGGCAAAAUGGAGGAGAUCCUAAAUUUUUUCUGGGUCCCUUUAUUUUGCUGGGUUUUGCUAGAGAAACAUUUGGUCAUGUGUCAUAGUGCCUAGAAGUUACCCUCUCCAUAAUGCCUACUCCUUUAAAUAACAGCCAUUAAAAGAUAGACUUGAGUACAUUAAAUGUUUUUAAGAGUCAGUUUGAAUAUUCAGCAGUUCAUGAAUUGAGCAGCACCAGACCUCAAGCAGUUGGGCUCCACUAAGGGAGGUGCAAGGAGAUGCCAGGGGUAACCUUUGAUAAGGUGUUCCAGGAAGUAAGACAAAGAAAAUAUUUGAUUGGUUAAAGUGGAAGGUCCUUUGUUUGAAGCAGUCAGCAGUUUCUGGUUGGUAAAGUCUCUUAGAUGUUAGUUGGUGGUUUCUGAUUGCUUAACCUUAAGUUUCAUUUUCCUGGGCUAUGAUCAAUCACUCUGAGUUGAGUUUUGGUUUGCUUAGGUAGGAACCCAAGGUGCUGGAGCCAUCUCAACUUAAUAGUCUCCCAGUUGAUUAUUUUAACAGAGCUGUAUCCUAUAAAGACAGGGUAACACACAUUGAAUUUACUUCCUUCAGACAUUUAGAAUGGACUUAAGGUCUUGAUUUAAAAGACCAUUGGAGGAGACAAGAAAUCUGGAUGAUCCUUCUUUUUGAAGAAAAGUGCUGUCUUAAACUUCUGUUAAAUUAAUAAUCUGGUGGUGGUGGUUGGGGGGUGUUUUGUUUUGUUUUCCAAAGAACCAAUUCAGGCAUUGGAAACCCUAAAUGUUGAUCUUGUGAGCUGCGGGAAGGAGCACUCCCUGGCUGUGUGCCACAAAGGAAGGGUCUUCGCAUGGGGAGCUGGUUCUGAAGGGCAGCUGGGGAUUGGAGAAUUCAAGGAAAUAAGUUUCACACCUAAGUGAAGAUACAGCAAGAAGGCAUCUACUUGCAAACCAAGAAGAGGGCCCUCACCAGGAACCGAGUUACUCGCUUCUUCAUCUUGAACUUCCUGGUCUCCAGAAGAGUGAGAAAUAAGUUUCUUGUUCUUGACAUCACCUAUUUCAUGUUAUUUUUGUUACAGCAACUCAAGUUGACUAAGGUACACUUGUAUGGAACUCUUUUAUCACAGGCUCUAGUCUUGGAUAAAAACUAUGCUAACACAGUAAAUGAUUUUCUCUCCGUGACUUUUUUUGAUGAGGUAGAUCUAUAUGUGUAUAUGUUGAUAUAUGGAAAUAUCUUUCCAAAAGAUGUUAUUUUGUGCAAAAAGUAAGUUGCAGAACUGUUCUAUUGUAUGCAUAAAACCAAAACGUUAUAAAGGAAACUUAGUAGUGGUAAUUUCAGGGGAGAAGGAGAUGAGGAAAGAAAGACUUCCUAAUUUUCAUUUUAUUAUUCUCAGCACUGCUUGAAUUUUUGAAAUGCAUUUAUAUAUUCCUUUAAACAUAAUUUGAUUUUUUGGGGUGUUGAGAUUGUGGGUCACUUUAAAUUUCUCUAUUAUUAUCUAUACACAAAAGUACCAUAGUGUUUAUAAAAAAUAACAACUUUAACAGUCAAAGAAACCCUCUUUUGUCGGGAACUAUUAAAGGUGUUCAAUAAAUGGUUUAGUUAAAACAGUACAUGAGGUCCCUAUGUUUAAUCCCUCCAGGUAGUGAGCUUCUAUGUUAACCCAAUUAUUUCACAUUAACAGAAGUAGGGAGAUAUUCCAAACUCCAAGAAUCCAUGCCCAAAGACAGCAGACUUCCGUCAGUCAUUGUGCUGGCUGGGAGUCCAUUCUCUUAACAUUAUGUUAAACCUGGGAGUACAUGGAAGAAUUACCUGGAACCAUGGUCCAGAAUCUUGCUCUUGUCCUCUGUUACUUUUCAUGUAUUUCAAAUUAACAUACAACCCCUCAACAAUACAGCACCAAGAUAAUGUGAAUCCUGAUAAAAAGCAAUCGGCAAUUGGUUACUACUAUUUUCUCAAAGGAGGUCAGGUAAAAGAUCUUAUCUUGGAAAUGUCAGACAACAUUGUGUGGUGAAGCAGGUGAUAAGGUGAAGGGUGGCUCCCUGCAUCUUCAGUAUCUUCCUAGCCUAAUCUCCCACAGUUACAACCAGAGAAAUGGGGAUCAAAUAAACAGAGCUGGGGUUUCUUUGAGCCUGUCCUGGAAAUCCCCUGACCACAGAGAUAGUUAAGCUGUUGUGGACUGCUGCCACCAGGUGGCAGCAAACUGAGUUGGGACCAGGAUGGAUUUAGAUUCUGCUUCCAGAUCUCUCUUGUCAAUUGGAUACACAGAUCCAACAAGCAACUCAUUAACCUCGAAUAAUGCAACCCUGCAUUUUACCCUUGACUUCUUAAAACCCCACGCAUGUAGUUAUGGCAAGAUUUUACUCUCGUAAGAUGUCUCUAAUAUUCCAGAUGAUCUCUCAAUAAUGCUAAUUUCUGUUAAAACCAGAAAAGAAACUAUAUUAAUCUAUUAAAUAAUUUGAGUUUUCAACAUUAUUUGACUGCAGUUGUAAGGAAUGGGGGAGACAGACCAAGAAGCUACCAAUGCUUUUUGAAAUCAUUUUUUUAUAACAAGAAAAAAGGUGAAUUUUAGAAACUACACGCCUUCCCAAAUUACAGGAACAUAUGGUAAGCAAGUUUAUGUCCUACAAUUUUAAUUGCAAAUCCAAGUGUCCUUGCCAAGUUUUCCAUGUUGUCAGUGAGGAACAGAGAUGACUGUGGCUAAGACAUUGUGUCCUUCAGGUGCUGUGGGCCAUGACCACUGUACUGUUUGCAUUUUGACACGUGGACACUAGCAAGGCUCGGUAUUACAGUCAGUAUUGAAGUCUGUGAAUAUCUGGAAUACUAAUAUCAGUCAGUAGAUUAGUGGAUACCUAAUAUAUUGCAUCACUUUUUGCUCAUCUCAAUAUGAAUUUAGUGUCCCCCAAACUUCCAGCUUAUUUUUGUGGUUAUUAGAGACAUGAAAGCAUGCAAUUAGAUCAAAAUCUUAUUAACGCAAUAAAAGUUCAAAAUGUGGUGUAAAUAUUAAAAAAAAAAAAAAA